RNAcentral lists this long non-coding RNA (3197 nucleotides) under Phoenix dactylifera (date palm). RNAcentral describes it as "long non-coding RNA (PDAC_LNC012586)". The record is from RNAcentral. Lineage: Eukaryota; Viridiplantae; Streptophyta; Magnoliopsida; Arecales; Arecaceae.
AAAAUUAAGUCAUACAAAAAGAGAAAUAUUAAGAUCAAUUCUACUCAUUUUUUAUUUUUAAAUAGAGAGAAAUAAAGGAGUGAGAAAGUGUUGGGUGGACUAUUCUCCCCCCUAGAGAUGGGGAUCCGAGAAAGCUUCUUUGCAAGUUCUCAUAGCAAAGGGUAGAUACACAAGCAUGCUAUUGGCGUUUGAGUAACAGAAAAGGGAAUAAUCGAAAGAAAGAGGACUCAAAUAGUAUGGAUUUAGGUGCCUCGGCUUCAAAAACUUUCACUAUCAUCACAUCACUCAUUCGAAGGUAGAUGGAUGAGGUUGGACAGGAUAUAACUGGAGCUUUGAUAAAAAAAGUCUAUCGCUAUCUCUACUCUUAAUUAAGGUAGAGUCCUACUAGUAAUUUAAAAACAAGGUAAUGUAAAAAUAAAGAGAAUGAGAGAUAUCAUAUUGUUAUUUGCUUCUUUAUUAAAGUAUAGGUCAUUGCGCCACGCCUCGACCUUUCACCGUAGUUCUUUUUGCUCGGUUUCGAGCCCCUCCACUCGCAGAGCUUUGGGCCUGUUUUGAGUUUCUCGACUAAUCUUUCUGAAGUCCAGCUUUCGAAUGGGCUCGAUCUUCUCUUCUUAAGAGUAUUCUCCCUGAGGCUUCUUUGGAGUCGGCUACUAGAGAAAAUCUGAGUGGACUCGGUCUUUUCAUCUCAGGAGUAUGCUCCCUGAGGCAUCUCUAGGGUUGGCUACCCAGAGAAAAUUCAAGUGGGCUCGAUCUUCUCAUAUGGGAGUAUGUUCCCUGAGGCAUCUCUGGGGUUGGCUGCCCAGAGAAAAUCAAGAAGAGAAAAUUCGAAUGGGCUUGAUUUUUUGUCUCGAGAGUAUGCUCCUUGAGGUAUGUUUGGGGUUGUCUACUAGAGAAAAUCUAAGUGGGCUCGGUCUUCUCUUUUUGGAAGUAUGCUCCCCGAGGCAUCCCUGGAGUUGACUACAUAGAAAAAAUCUGAGUGGGCUCGGUCAUUUUAUCUCGAGAGUAUGCUCUCCGAGGCAUCUCUAGGGGUGGAUACUAGAGAAAAUUUGAGUAGGCUCGGUCUUCUCAUCUCGGAAGUAUGCUCUCCAAGGCAUCUAUAAGGUUGGCUAUCUAGAGAAAAUCCGAGUGGACUCGAUCUUCUCAUCCCAGGAGUAUGCUCCCUGAGGCAUCUCUAGGAUUGGCUAUGUGAAAAAAUCUGAGUAGGCUCGGCCUUCUCAUCUUGGGAGUAUGCUUCUCGAGGCAUCUUUAAGGUUGGUUACCCAGAGAAAAUUCGAAUGGGCUCAGUCCUCUUAUCUCGGGAGUAUGCUCCUCGAUGCAUCUCUAGGGUAAGCUACCCAGAAAAAAUCUGAGGGCGAUCGAUCUUCGAGAUGUCGGCGCCUCCAUUCAUCUCUAGAGUAUGCUCUUGGAAGAAUCUCUAGGUUUGGCUACCCGAGAAAAUCUGAGUAGACUCGAUCUUUAAGAGCUCGACACCUCUAUUCAUCUCCAGAGUAUGCUCCUAGAGGUAUGUCUGGGUUUGGUUACUAGAGAAAAUCCGAGUGGGCUCGGUCUUCUCAUCUUAGGAGCAUACUCUUUGAGGCAUUUCUGGAGUUGGCUAUCCAGAGAAAAUUUGAGUGGUCUCAAUCUUCUCAUCUCAGGAGUGUGCUCCCCGAGGCAUCUUUAGGGUUGGCUACCUAGAAAAAAUUCGAGUGGCUCGGUCUUCGGAAGGUUGGCACCUCCGUUCAUGUUCAAAGUAUGCUUCCGGAGGCAUCUCUAGAUUUGGCUACUAGAGAAAAUUCAAAUGUGCUCGAUCUUCAGAAUGUCGGCACCUCCAUUCGUCUCUGGAGUAUGCUCCCCAAGGCAUCUUGAACCGAUGUGGGAUCGGUUCCUCCAUGAUAUGCUGGGAGAAGGGAGGCUCCGAGGAGAAGUUGAGGUCGUUGGUUGCCCUCGGAACCUACCCCUUAAAGUACUGAAUCUGGAAGUCCAUUUUCUUGAUCCUCUUAUCAAGGUUGACGCCCUACUUCAACGAGGGCUCCAUGGGAUCAGGCAAGAGGCUCUGGACAGAGUCACUGCCGGAAUGGGAGGUUGCAUGGGGUCACUCUGUCGAGUGUGCUGACUCUGAGGCGACCACUCAGAAUUUUGGUCACUCCGGCAUCAGUAGAUUUAACAGGCUCCAAAAUUUCUAUUUUGCUCUAGUACAAAUACUAUAACAUUUCAAGAUUUUGUAUAAAAAAUUAUUUACUUAUUGAUUAUGCAAGAAAAGAAUUUUUAGUCAAUUUCAUUGUUGGGACUAAGUAUGAGUUGAGCUCUACAUAUUUACUAAACUUUUAAUAUACGUGUAUUGAACUUCCAAUAUAUAUAAUAAUUAUUUGAUAUAUAUUUGUUUAGAUUAUCACCAUUUUUUUAUCUAAAUCUAGGAUGAAAAUUUUCCAAAACCCUUAAUACGUAUGGUUUUGUAAAAAAAAAUUCUCAUCUUUUCUUUUACGAUAAAUUACUAAGUAAUUAUUUUUAAUAUAAAAUCUUUAAUUGUUUUUGCAUUUAAAUCCAGGAUGAAAAUCGUCAAGGACCCUUCAUGUGUAUGGUUUUGCGGGCAAAAAAAAAAUGAAAAUCUCAUCUUCUAUUUCAUAGUCAACAACUAAAUAACUUUUUAAUAUGAACCUAUAAAAUUAAAUUGGAUCAAGGAGUCAUCUUUCCGUGAUAACAUCGGUGGAAGCUUGAUGGGAACUCACAGCGAGCGGAUUGGAGUGGGCUUUCGCAUCGAUGAUCCGAAGCCACGUAGUACCACGAGAUGUCAAACCCUCCCAGCAACACGUCGCGAACCGCAGCCUGCGUGCGAUUCCGAAGCGUGCCCGCCACCGGCACCGUCCCUGCGGUAGCGCAGCUGUUCCGAAGAGCGGCCACCGUCACAUAUCCCACCACCGCAUGCAAGUACUCUUUGGAGGGGGAAGAAUGAUCGACACAAGAAGCGAUGGGGAUAUAUGAAGGAUCGCCCUCCAAUGAUGCGGGGCAAGUCACGAACGUGACGCUGGUGUCGCUCGCUAGCUCGUAGGGAUCGCCAUACGUGAAUAUCGACGGAGGCACGAAGGGUAGAGACCGCGGGGAGCAGCUCGCGGGAUCGAGGUCGGCGAGGACGACGCGGGCCACCUGGUCCUCGUAGGAGAUCUUCUCCACGUAGUACUUGGUCGAGUACAACUCCAAGACGGCUCGGUUCUGAUCACAGG